This 253-nucleotide ribosomal RNA is filed under the name uncultured bacterium. RNAcentral describes it as "partial 16S ribosomal RNA". It matches the Rfam family "Bacterial small subunit ribosomal RNA", at positions 524 to 776 of the family's 1533-position model. The record is from RNAcentral.
UACGAAGGGUGCAAGCGUUACUCGGAAUUACUGGGCGUAAAGCGUGCGUAGGCGGUUUGUUAAGUCCGUUGUGAAAGCCCUGGGCUCAACCUGGGAAUUGCAGUGGAUACUGGCGAGCUAGAGUGCGGUAGAGGAUGGUGGAAUUCCAGGUGUAGCGGUGAAAUGCGUAGAUAUCUGGAGGAACACCGGUGGCGAAGGCGGCAUUCUGGACCGACAUUGACGCUGAGGAGCGAAAGCCAGGGGAGCAAACGGG